UGGAGACAAGGAGAGAUCUUCUCUGCAGAUUCUGGAAGGGAAUGGACCAGCCCACAGUGAAGACUGGAGACAGCACGAAGGGGAGGUUUGCAGCGAUGACCCCAGGAGUGUCGUGUCUGUGGGAUCCAGUUCUGGAGUGGACCAGGAAAUAAGUUAAAGCACCAAGAACCUGCUCAAGGAACUGAAGAAGCAGGAGCACAUCUGGUUGAGACUCCGGUGGAAGAGCACGUAGCCAGACAUUCAAGUGAUCACAGCUGAGAUUGUGGAGUCGAUGGCGUGAUGGAAGGGUCAUUUAUAUGAGAUAGACCAUCAGCAAGAUGAACCUUCAAACGAUCGUCCAGAGAGAACCCAAACCAGCAGCUGGCGACAUCCAGGACCGCGGAAUCAAUUUCAACAGCUUCGACUUGUGAGCCCAGGAA
This is a long non-coding RNA of Bufo gargarizans (Asiatic toad), 419 nucleotides long. RefSeq lists it as uncharacterized. Lineage: Eukaryota; Metazoa; Chordata; Amphibia; Anura; Bufonidae. The record is from RefSeq and is a predicted model, not a curated record. The transcript is spliced from 3 exons.